This 109-nucleotide ribosomal RNA is filed under the name Sorex araneus (European shrew). Lineage: Eukaryota; Metazoa; Chordata; Mammalia; Eulipotyphla; Soricidae. The record is from RNAcentral.
GACUAGGGCCAUACUACCCUGAGCACGCCUGAAUUCAGAAGCUAAGCAGGGCUGGGCCUGGUUAGUACUUGGAUGGGAAACUGCCCAGGAAUUCCGGGUGCUGUAGGCC